AUACGUAGGGGGCAAGCGUUAUCCGGAUUUAUUGGGUUUAAAGGGAGCGUAGGCGGGAGCUUAAGUCAGCGGUUAAAUGGUGCGGCUCAACCGUGCCCUGCCGUUGAAACUGGGUUUCUUGAGAGUGCAAGAGGCGGAUGGAAUUCAUGGUGUAGGGGUGAAAUGCUUAGAUAUCAUGAAGAACUCCGAUUGCGAAGGCAGUCCGCUGGGGCACGUCUGACGCUGAUGCUCGAAGGUGCGGGAAUCAAACAGGAUUAGAUACCCUGGUAGUCCGCACGGUAAACGAUGAUUACCCGCUGUCGGCGGCAGACAGUCGGCGGCCAAGCGAAAGCGAUAAGUAAUCCACCUGGGGAGUACGCCGGCAACGGUGAAACUCAAAUGAAUUGGCGGGG
This 392-nucleotide ribosomal RNA is filed under the name uncultured bacterium. Its description in RNAcentral is "partial 16S ribosomal RNA". It matches the Rfam family "Bacterial small subunit ribosomal RNA", at positions 523 to 918 of the family's 1533-position model. The record is from RNAcentral.